AUUGAACGCUGGCGGCAGGCUUAACACAUGCAAGUCGAGCGGGGGAAGGUAGCUUGCUACUGGACCUAGCGGCGGACGGGUGAGUAAUGCUUAGGAAUCUGCCUAUUAGUGGGGGACAACAUCUCGAAAGGGAUGCUAAUACCGCAUACGUCCUACGGGAGAAAGCAGGGGAUCUUCGGACCUUGCGCUAAUAGAUGAGCCUAAGUCGGAUUAGCUAGUUGGUGGGGUAAAGGCCUACCAAGGCGACGAUCUGUAGCGGGUCUGAGAGGAUGAUCCGCCACACAGGGACUGAGACACGGCCCAGACUCCUACGGGAGGCAGCAGUGGGGAAUAUUGGACAAUGGGGGAACCCUGAUCCAGCCAUGCCGCGUGUGUGAAGAAGGCCUUAUGGUUGUAAAGCACUUUAAGCGAGGAGGAGGCUACUUUAGUUAAUACCUAGAGAUAGUGGACGUUACUCGCAGGAUAAGCACCGGCUAACUCUGUGCCAGCCGCCGCAGUAA
RNAcentral lists this ribosomal RNA (500 nucleotides) under uncultured bacterium. RNAcentral's name for it is "partial 16S ribosomal RNA". It matches the Rfam family "Bacterial small subunit ribosomal RNA", at positions 30 to 523 of the family's 1533-position model. The record is from RNAcentral.